RNAcentral lists this ribosomal RNA (253 nucleotides) under uncultured bacterium. RNAcentral describes it as "partial 16S ribosomal RNA". It matches the Rfam family "Bacterial small subunit ribosomal RNA", at positions 524 to 776 of the family's 1533-position model. The record is from RNAcentral.
UACGAAGGGAGCUAGCGUUGUUCGGAAUCACUGGGCGUAAAGCGCACGUAGGCGGGUGUGUCAGUCAGGGGUGAAAUCCCGGAGCUCAACUUCGGAACUGCCUUUGAUACUGAGAGUCUUGAGUCCGGGAGAGGUGAGUGGAACUGCGAGUGUAGAGGUGAAAUUCGUAGAUAUUCGCAAGAACACCAGUGGCGAAGGCGGCUCACUGGCCCGGUACUGACGCUGAGGUGCGAAAGCGUGGGGAGCAAACAGG